AACGAACGCUGGCGGCGCGCUUAACACAUGCAAGUCGAACGAGAAGGCGUAGCAAUACGCUUGUACAGUGGCGAACGGGUGAGUAAUACGUGGGCGACCUACCCUCGAGUGGGGAAUAACCCGCCGAAAGGCGGGCUAAUGCCGCGUACGCUUCCAUCUUUAUGGAGGUGGAAGGAAAGCCGUGCCGUGGGCACGGCGCUCAAGGAUGGGCUCACGUCCUAUCAGCUUGUUGGUAGGGAACGGCCUACCAAGGCUCCGACGGGUAGCUGGUCUGAGAGGACGAUCAGCCACACUGGCACUGCGACACGGGCCAGACUCCUACGGGAGCAGCAGUGAGGAAUAUUGCGCAAUGGGCGAAAGCCUGACGCAGCGACGCCGCGUGGGGGAUGAAGGUCUUCGGAUUGUAAACCCCUUUCGGGAGGGAGAUGGGACGGGCGAACCGUUCGGACGGUACCUCCAGAAGCAGCCACGGCUAACUUCGUGCCAGCAGCAGCCGCAGUAAU
This 503-nucleotide ribosomal RNA is filed under the name uncultured bacterium. RNAcentral's name for it is "bacterial SSU rRNA". It matches the Rfam family "Bacterial small subunit ribosomal RNA", at positions 29 to 524 of the family's 1533-position model. The record is from RNAcentral.